UGCAUCAUAAGCGGAGGAAAAGAAACCAACUGGGAUUACCUUAGUAACGGCGAGUGAAGCGGUAAAAGCUCAAAUUUGAAAUCUGGUACUUUCAGUGCCCGAGUUGUAAUUUGUAGAAUUUGUCUUUGAUUAGGUCCUUGUCUAUGUUCCUUGGAACAGGACGUCAUAGAGGGUGAGAAUCCCGUUUGGCGAGGAUACCUUUUCUCUGUAAGACUUUUUCGAAGAGUCGAGUUGUUUGGGAAUGCAGCUCAAAGUGGGUGGUAAAUUCCAUCUAAAGCUAAAUAUUGGCGAGAGACCGAUAGCGAACAAGUACAGUGAUGGAAAGAUGAAAAGAACUUUGAAAAGAGAGUGAAAAAGUACGUGAAAUUGUUGAAAGGGAAGGGCAUUUGAUCAGACAUGGUGUUUUUUGCAUGCACUCGCCUCUCGUGGGCUUGGGCCUCUCAAAAAUUUCACUGGGCCAACAUCAAUUCUGGCAGCAGGAUAAAUCAUUAAGAACGUAGCUACCUCGGUAGUGUUAUAGCUUUUUGGAAUACUGCUAGCUGGGAUUGAGGACUGCGCUUCGGCAAGGAUGUUGGCAUAAUGGUUAAAUGCCGCCCGUCUUGAACCGGACCAA
Molecule: ribosomal RNA, 613 nt
Filed under: Hanseniaspora meyeri
Lineage: Eukaryota; Fungi; Ascomycota; Saccharomycetes; Saccharomycodales; Saccharomycodaceae
Description: LSU rRNA
Rfam family: Eukaryotic large subunit ribosomal RNA
Source: RNAcentral